UAAUACAGAGGGUGCGAGCGUUAAUCGGAGUUACUGGGCGUAAAGGGCGCGUAGGCGGUUUAGCAAGUGUGAUGUGAAAGCCCUGGGCUUAACCUGGGAAGUGCAUCGCAAACGACUAGACUGGAGUACAAGAGAGGGUGGCGGAAUUUCCGGUGUAGCGGUGAAAUGCGUAGAGAUCGGAAGGAACGUCAAUGGCGAAGGCAGCCACCUGGCUUGAUACUGACGCUGAGGCGCGAAAGCGUGGGUAGCGAACAGGAUUAGAUACCCUGGUAGUCCACGCUGUAAACGAUGAGGACUAGAUGUUGGUAGGGGAACCUAUCAGUAUCGAAGCAAACGCGAUAAGUCUUCCGCCUGGGAAGUACGGCCGCAAGGUUG
Molecule: ribosomal RNA, 375 nt
Filed under: uncultured bacterium
Lineage: Bacteria
Description: bacterial SSU rRNA
Rfam family: Bacterial small subunit ribosomal RNA
Source: RNAcentral